Molecule: ribosomal RNA, 444 nt
Filed under: bacterium 005-L
Lineage: Bacteria
Description: SSU rRNA
Rfam family: Bacterial small subunit ribosomal RNA
Source: RNAcentral
UCCUGGCUCAGAUUGAACGCUGGCGGCAUGCCUUACACAUGCAAGUCGAACGGUAACAGGUCUUCGGACGCUGACGAGUGGCGAACGGGUGAGUAAUACAUCGGAACGUGCCCAGUCGUGGGGGAUAACUACUCGAAAGAGUAGCUAAUACCGCAUACGAUCUGAGGAUGAAAGCGGGGGACCUUCGGGCCUCGCGCGAUUGGAGCGGCCGAUGGCAGAUUAGGUAGUUGGUGGGAUAAAAGCUUACCAAGCCGACGAUCUGUAGCUGGUCUGAGAGGACGACCAGCCACACUGGGACUGAGACACGGCCCAGACUCCUACGGGAGGCAGCAGUGGGGAAUUUUGGACAAUGGGCGAAAGCCUGAUCCAGCAAUGCCGCGUGCAGGAUGAAGGCCUUCGGGUUGUAAACUGCUUUUGUACGGAACGAAAAAGCUUCUCCUAAUA